CGAGCACGCGCGUGUGGCAUAUCAAUAAGCGGAGGAAAAGAAACUAACAAGGAUUCCCUUAGUAACGGCGAGUGAGGCGGGAAGAGCUCAAAUUUGAAAUCUUCAAGGUUCUACCUUGACGAAUUGUAGUUUAUAGAAGUGUUUUCUGUUAGUAGAGUGGCAAAAGUUCUUUGGAAUAGGACAUCAUAGAGGGUGAGAAUCCCGUAUUUGGUCAUUCCUUCCUAGCGUUGUGAUACACUUUCAACGAGUCGGAUUGUUUGGGAAUGCAGUCCAAAAUGGGUGGUAAAUUUCAUCUAAAGCUAAAUAUUGGCGAGAGACCGAUAGCGAACAAGUACCGUGAGGGAAAGAUGAAAAGAACUUUGAAAAGAGAGUUAAACAGUACGUGAAAUUGUCAAAAGGGAAGCGUUUGACACCAGUGUUGUUUUUCCGAAGAUCAAUUACGAAUGUUUUAUUUUUGAGGAGUUAUGACUUCAUCGGCUUGCUCCUUUCUUUACGAAACUUUCUUAAUGCACUUUUCGGUUAACAAGUCAACAUCAAUUUCUUUUGUUGUAAAAGGGUAUGAGGAAGGUGGCUUUCUUUUCGGAGAAAGUGUUUAUAGCCUUGUGCCUCUGCAAUCGGAGAGAUUGAGGUCUGCAGCGUAGAUCCUUCGGGGUUAGAUACGUUUGUGCUAAGUUAUAGCUUUUCAUAGACAACUGGUUGACUAUGUUUAGUCUUGUAGCUUACUCGCUUACUGCUAUUUUACCUACGCUUAGGAUGUUGAACUCUAUCACACACAG
RNAcentral lists this ribosomal RNA (776 nucleotides) under uncultured Neocallimastigales. RNAcentral's name for it is "partial large subunit ribosomal RNA". It matches the Rfam family "Eukaryotic large subunit ribosomal RNA", at positions 19 to 621 of the family's 3401-position model. The record is from RNAcentral. Lineage: Eukaryota; Fungi; Neocallimastigomycota; Neocallimastigomycetes; Neocallimastigales.